RNAcentral lists this ribosomal RNA (460 nucleotides) under uncultured bacterium. RNAcentral describes it as "partial 16S ribosomal RNA". It matches the Rfam family "Bacterial small subunit ribosomal RNA", at positions 338 to 795 of the family's 1533-position model. The record is from RNAcentral.
UCUACGGGAGGCAGCAGUGAGGAAUAUUGGUCAAUGGACGAGAGUCUGAACCAGCCAAGUAGCGUGAAGGAUGACUGCCCUAUGGGUUGUAAACUUCUUUUAUAUGGGAAUAAAACGUUCCACGUGUGGGAUUUUGUAUGUACCCUAUGAAUAAGGAUCGGCUAACUCCGUGCCAGCAGCCGGGGUAAUACGGAGGAUCCGAUGGUUAUCCGGAUUUAGUGGGUUUAAAGGGGGCGUAGGGGGGGUGUGAAGUCAGUUGGGAAAGUUGGCGGCGCAACCGUAAAAUUGCAGUUGAAACUGGCAGUCUUGAGUACAGUAGAGGUGGGCGGAAUGCGUGGUGUAGCGGUGAAAUGCUUAGAUAUCACGAAGAACUCCGAUUGCGAAGGCAGUUCACUGGACUGCAACUGACACUGAGGCUCGAAAGUGUGGGUAUCAAACAGGAUUAGAUACCCUAGUAGUC